Molecule: ribosomal RNA, 490 nt
Filed under: uncultured bacterium
Lineage: Bacteria
Description: partial 16S ribosomal RNA
Rfam family: Bacterial small subunit ribosomal RNA
Source: RNAcentral
AUUGAACGCUGGCGGCAGGCCUAACACAUGCAAGUCGAACGGUAACAGGAAGCAGCUUGCUGCUUUGCUGACGAGUGGCGGACGGGUGAGUAAUGUCUGGGAAACUGCCUGAUGGAGGGGGAUAACUACUGGAAACGGUAGCUAAUACCGCAUAACGUCGCAAGACCAAAGAGGGGGACCUUAGGGCCUCUUGCCAUCGGAUGUGCCCAGAUGGGAUUAGCUAGUAGGUGGGGUAACGGCUCACCUAGGCGACGAUCCCUAGCUGGUCUGAGAGGAUGACCAGCCACACUGGAACUGGGACACGGUCAAGACUCCUACGGGAGGCAGCAGUGGGGAAUAUUGCACAAUGGGCGCAAGCCUGAUGCAGCCAUGCCGCGUGUAUGAAGAAGGCCUUCGGGUUGUAAAGUACUUUCAGCGGGGAGGAAGGGAGUAAAGUUAAUACCUUUGCUCAUUGACGUUACCCGCAGAAGAAGCACCGGCUAACUCCGUG